GCCUCUAUGGCACAGGGGUAAUGCGUGAGUUUAUCCUCGAAAUGUCCCAUCUCACCGAGCCCACAGCUAACAUGCAACCAUCCUGGAGGUCGCACUCGUAAUUAUGUAAUCUCUUACACAUACGAUGCCUAUGCGAAGAUCCGCGGUUCGAUUCCGCGUGGAGGCA
Microdochium bolleyi is the source of this 166-nucleotide non-coding RNA. Lineage: Eukaryota; Fungi; Ascomycota; Sordariomycetes; Xylariales; Microdochiaceae. The record is from the annotation of a GenBank genome assembly.